Molecule: ribosomal RNA, 253 nt
Filed under: uncultured bacterium
Lineage: Bacteria
Description: partial 16S ribosomal RNA
Rfam family: Bacterial small subunit ribosomal RNA
Source: RNAcentral
UACGGAGGGAGCUAGCGUUGUUCGGAAAUACUGGGCGUAAAGCGCACGUAGGCGGCGCAGCAAGUCAGGGGUGAAAUCCCGGGGCUCAACCCCGGAACUGCCCUUGAAACUGCAGUGCUAGAAUUCUGGAGAGGCGAGUGGAAUUCCGAGUGUAGAGGUGAAAUUCGUAGAUAUUCGGAAGAACACCAGUGGCGAAGGCGACUCGCUGGACAGAUAUUGACGCUGAGGUGCGAAAGCGUGGGGAGCAAACAGG